CGAAUAUCAGCCUUCAGUGUAAUUAGACACGAACAGAAAAUCUCACAGAGCAGCCACAGAAUGACUGGGCUGAGAUGCGUGAUGACUUUACACAAGAUGCCAGAUAAUCUGUUUAUUACUGAAUUACAGACAAACCUUUUGAGAUACAGAAAUUUUUGAAGCCUUCUAUCUGAACUGUAACUUUCUGCAAUGUUCUUCACUCAUUUUACUCAUUAUUUCACAGUCUCUUAAAUUCAAAGGUCUACGUUAGGCUGGAGAGCUUUAUAUCCAAACUCUUAGCCUCCCUGGAGCAAGCAUCUGUGUCCCCAAAAAGUUCAAACAUUUCAGAUAGUUGAUCUUUGUAGUGCAAAAUUAGAAUGAGAUUUUUUUCCUUGUAUUUCACAAAUGAUGUUAUGACCAUAAUUCAGUUUAAAUGAGGAUUUUUGAGUCAAAUUAACUUCAGCAAGAUGGUCAGUGGAAGUCUAAGCAACACAAAAUAAGUAUUGCCAAUUCCUGCUGCAACAAAUAUCUCUGAAUUGGGAUAUCCACCACCCACACACAGUUCUGCCCAAUUUAUCAUCACCUGCUACUUGCUUCCAACUUGAAAAGGCAUAUGAUUUCAAAUUUCAGACAAUGAUCCUUUUCUACAUUAAUGAACAAUGAAUGGAUUACGGGGUCAAAAGUGAUUUCCGUAGUUGCUUGCCAUCAAACGGCUCUGCGCUGUUUCACAAGCAGAAAAGCUGGAAAUGAAUGCAAUCAAGAUCACAGCAGCAGCUGGUUCUAAAAACUCCAACGAAUGCUCGUGGAACAAUGUCACCUGCCCGAACAGCCCUGGAUGCACCUGCACCCUCAGUCACUGCCGCAGACUUUAGAUCAGCCUUCUUGAAAGUGAACCCAAGGAAAGCAACUGGCCCAGAUGGAGUCCCCAGCCAUGCACUGAAAUUCAGUGUGGACAGUUGGUGGGAGUAUUUGUUAACAUCUUUAACUUCUCCUUGCUACAAUUUGAAAUCCCCACCCGUUUCAAGAAGACCAUCAUCAUCCCAGUACCAAAGAGAACAGGUGCCUCAUGACUCCCACCCAGUGGCUCUGACCUCUGUAAUUAUGAAGUGCUUUGAGAGGCUAGUCAUGGCUCACAUCAACCCUAGCCUCCCAGCCUGCCAUGAUCCAUUGCAAUUUGCUCAUCGGCACAACGAGUUUAUAAUGGAUACAAUUUGUCUCGCCCUACACUCAUUCCUGAAGCAUCUGGAUAAUAAUGAUACUUAUGUCGAGCUUCUACUUACCGACUACAGCCCCAACAUCAACAUUGUAAUCCCAACCAAACUAACUUCCAAACUCCGAGAUUAAGGUCUUGGCUUCUCCCUCUGCAACUGGAUCAUUAGCUUCCUGCCCUACAAACCGGAAUUAAUUAAGAUAGACAACAGUACCUCCUCCACCAUAACACCAGCACCCCACCAGGAUGCAUACUCAUCCCUGUGUACUCCCUGUACACUCAUAACUGUGUGGCUAAAUGUUGUCUGAACACCAUCUACAAGUUCGUUGAUGACACCACUGUUUUAGGGCAGAUAUCAAACAAUGACGAGACAGAAUACAGGAAGGAGAUAGAAUGCUUGGUGUCACUGUGCAACAGUAACAAUCUCUCCCUCAAUGUCAGCAAAACUAAAAAGAGUUGAUCAUUGACCUCAAGAAGAGAGGAGGAGGACACACCCUACCUACAGCAAUGGAGCUAAGGUAGAGGGAGAUUACAAUGUUAAGUUCCUGGGAGUGACGAUAACCAACAUUCUGUCCUGCAAUACCCUGAUAUGCCGCUCAAGAAGGCACAACAAUGCCUCUUUUUCCUCAGGAGACUAAGAAAAUUCAGCAUGUCCACAAGGACCUUCAUCAACAUUUACAGAUGCACCACAGAAAGCAUUAAUUCUGGGUGCAUUAUAACUUGGUACAGCAACUGCUCUGCCCAGGAUUGUAAGAAACUACAUAAAGUUGUGAACACAGGCUAAAAUAUCAUGCAAGCCAACCUCCCAGCCAUGAAGUCCAUCUACAGUUCUCAAUGCUACAGAAAACCAGCCAACAAAGACCCCUACCAACACCAUUAUAAUCUCUUCCAACAUCUUCCUUCAGGCAGAAGAUACAAAAGUUUAAACACACGCAACAACAAAUUCAAGAACAGCUUCUUCCCUGCUGUUAUUAGACUGCUGAAUGGACCUCUCAAAUUGAAUGCUGAUCAUGCUUUUGUAUACGUCCUGAGCAACUGUAACUUUGUAUGCCUCACUCUGUUCACCCUACUUUUCACUGUAAUUA
Molecule: long non-coding RNA, 2274 nt
Organism: Chiloscyllium plagiosum (whitespotted bambooshark)
Lineage: Eukaryota; Metazoa; Chordata; Chondrichthyes; Orectolobiformes; Hemiscylliidae
Source: RefSeq, a predicted model, not a curated record